UACGUAGGGUGCAAGCGUUGUCCGGAAUUAUUGGGCGUAAAGAGCUCGUAGGCGGUUUGUCGCGUCUGCUGUGAAAACCCGAGGCUCAACCUCGGGCCUGCAGUGGGUACGGGCAGACUAGAGUGCGGUAGGGGAGAUUGGAAUUCCUGGUGUAGCGGUGGAAUGCGCAGAUAUCUGGAGGAACACCGGUGGCGAAGGCGGCAUCCUGGACCGACACUGACGCUGAGGAGCGAAAGCCAGGGGAGCAAACGGG
RNAcentral lists this ribosomal RNA (253 nucleotides) under uncultured bacterium. Its description in RNAcentral is "partial 16S ribosomal RNA". It matches the Rfam family "Bacterial small subunit ribosomal RNA", at positions 524 to 776 of the family's 1533-position model. The record is from RNAcentral.